UCCUACGGGAGGCAGCAGUAAGGAAUAUUGGUCAAUGGACGGAAGUCUGAACCAGCCAUGCCGCGUGCAGGAAGACGGCCCUAUGGGUUGUAAACUGCUUUUGCAGGGGAAUAAACCUCUCUACGUGUAGAGAGUUGAAUGUACUCUGAGAAUAAGGAUCGGCUAACUCCGUGCCAGCAGCCGCGGUAAUA
Molecule: ribosomal RNA, 191 nt
Filed under: uncultured Mucilaginibacter sp.
Lineage: Bacteria; Pseudomonadati; Bacteroidota; Sphingobacteriia; Sphingobacteriales; Sphingobacteriaceae
Description: partial 16S ribosomal RNA
Rfam family: Bacterial small subunit ribosomal RNA
Source: RNAcentral